Molecule: ribosomal RNA, 249 nt
Filed under: Cryptosporidium baileyi
Lineage: Eukaryota; Apicomplexa; Conoidasida; Eucoccidiorida; Cryptosporidiidae
Description: partial small subunit ribosomal RNA
Rfam family: Eukaryotic small subunit ribosomal RNA
Source: RNAcentral
AGGGAGCCUGAGAAACGGCUACCACAUCUAAGGAAGGCAGCAGGGUCGCAAAUUACCCAAUCCAGACACAGGGAGGUAGUGACAAGAAAUAACAAUACAGGACCUAACGGUCUUGUAAUUGGAAUGAGUUAAGUAUAAACCCCUUUACAAGUAGCAAUUGGAGGGCAAGUCUGGUGCCAGCAGCCGCGGUAAUUCCAGCUCCAAUAGCGUAUAUUAAAGUUGUUGCAGUUAAAAAGCUCGUAGUUGGAU